RNAcentral lists this ribosomal RNA (483 nucleotides) under uncultured bacterium. RNAcentral's name for it is "partial 16S ribosomal RNA". It matches the Rfam family "Bacterial small subunit ribosomal RNA", at positions 30 to 507 of the family's 1533-position model. The record is from RNAcentral.
AUUGAACGCUAGCGGGAUGCUUUACACAUGCAAGUCGAACGGCAGCGCGGACUUCGGUCUGCGGCGAGUGGCGAACGGGUGAGUAAUGUAUCGGAACGUGCCCAGUAGCGGGGGAUAACUACGCGAAAGCGUAGCUAAUACCGCAUACGCCCUACGGGGGAAAGCAGGGGAUCGUAAGACCUUGCACUAUUGGAGCGGCCGAUAUCGGAUUAGCUAGUUGGUGAGGUAACGGCUCACCAAGGCGACGAUCCGUAGCUGGUUUGAGAGGACGACCAGCCACACUGGGACUGAGACACGGCCCAGACUCCUACGGGAGGCAGCAGUGGGGAAUUUUGGACAAUGGGGGCAACCCUGAUCCAGCCAUCCCGCGUGUGCGAUGAAGGCCUUCGGGUUGUAAAGCACUUUUGGCAGGAAAGAAACGUCGCGGGCUAAUACCCCGUGGAACUGACGGUACCUGCAGAAUAAGCACCGGCUAACUACGUG